RNAcentral lists this ribosomal RNA (550 nucleotides) under uncultured bacterium. RNAcentral's name for it is "partial 16S ribosomal RNA". It matches the Rfam family "Bacterial small subunit ribosomal RNA", at positions 355 to 896 of the family's 1533-position model. The record is from RNAcentral.
UGGGGAAUUUUGGACAAUGGGCGCAAGCCUGAUCCAGCCAUGCCGCGUGCGGGAAGAAGGCCUUCGGGUUGUAAACCGCUUUUGUCAGGGAAGAAAUCUUCUGAGUUAAUACCUCGGGAGGAUGACGGUACCUGAAGAAUAAGCACCGGCUAACUACGUGCCAGCAGCCGCGGUAAUACGUAGGGUGCAAGCGUUAAUCGGAAUUACUGGGCGUAAAGCGUGCGCAGGCGGUUUUGUAAGACAGAGGUGAAAUCCCCGGGCUCAACCUGGGAACUGCCUUUGUGACUGCAAGGCUUGAGUGCGGCAGAGGGGGAUGGAAUUCCGCGUGUAGCAGUGAAAUGCGUAGAUAUGCGGAGGAAACACCGAUGGCGAAGGCAAUCCCCUGGGCCUGCACUGACGCUCAUGCACGAAAGCGUGGGGAGCAAACAGGAUUAGAUAGCCCUGGUAGUCCACGCCCUAAACGAUGUCAACUGGUUGUUGGGAAGGUUCCUUCUCAGUAACGUAGCUAACGCGUGAAGUUGACCGCCUGGGGAGUACGGCCGCAAGGUUG